AGUGAACGCCGGCGGUAGGCCUAACACAUGCAAGUCGAACGGCAGCACGGUAAGAGCUUGCUCUUACGGGUGGCGAGUGGCGGACGGGUGAGGAAUACAUCGGAAUCUACUUUUUCGUGGGGGAUAACGUAGGGAAACUUACGCUAAUACCGCAUACGACCUACGGGUGAAAGCAGGGGAUCUUCGGACCUUGCGCGAUUGAAUGAGCCGAUGUCGGAUUAGCUAGUUGGCGGGGUAAAGGCCCACCAAGGCGACGAUCCGUAGCUGGUCUGAGAGGAUGAUCAGCCACACUGGAACUGAGACACGGUCCAGACUCCUACGGGAGGCAGCAGUGGGGAAUAUUGGACAAUGGGCGCAAGCCUGAUCCAGCCAUACCGCGUGGGUGAAGAAGGCCUUCGGGUUGUAAAGCCCUUUUGUUGGGAAAGAAAAGCAGCAGGUUAAUACCCCGCUGUUCUGACGGUACCCAAAGAAUAAGCACCGGCUAACUUCGUG
Molecule: ribosomal RNA, 492 nt
Filed under: uncultured bacterium
Lineage: Bacteria
Description: partial 16S ribosomal RNA
Rfam family: Bacterial small subunit ribosomal RNA
Source: RNAcentral